This 471-nucleotide ribosomal RNA is filed under the name uncultured organism. Its description in RNAcentral is "partial 16S ribosomal RNA". It matches the Rfam family "Bacterial small subunit ribosomal RNA", at positions 333 to 796 of the family's 1533-position model. The record is from RNAcentral.
ACACUCCUGCGGGAGGCAGCAGUGGGGAAUUUUGGACAAUGGGCGAAAGCCUGAUCCAGCAAUGCCGCGUGAGUGAAGAAGGCCUUCGGGUUGUAAAGCUCUUUUGUCAGGGAAGAAACGGUGAGAGCUAAUAUCUCUUGCUAAUGACGGUACCUGAAGAAUAAGCACCGGCUAACUACGUGCCAGCAGCCGCGGUAAUACGUAGGGUGCAAGCGUUAAUCGGAAUUACUGGGCGUAAAGCGUGCGCAGGCGGUUUUGUAAGUCUGAUGUGAAAUCCCCGGGCUCAACCUGGGAAUUGCAUUGGAGACUGCAAGGCUAGAAUCUGGCAGAGGGGGGUAGAAUUCCACGUGUAGCAGUGAAAUGCGUAGAUAUGUGGAGGAACACCGAUGGCGAAGGCAGCCCCCUGGGUCAAGAUUGACGCUCAUGCACGAAAGCGUGGGGAGCAAACAGGAUUAGAUACCCGUGUAGUCC